AUUGAACGCUGGCGGCAGGCCUAACACAUGCAAGUCGAACGGUAACAGGAAGCAGCUUGCUGCUUUGCUGACGAGUGGCGGACGGGUGAGUAAUGUCUGGGAAACUGCCUGAUGGAGGGGGAUAACCACUGGAAACGGUAGCUAAUACCGCAUAACGUCGCAAGACCAAAGAGGGGGACCUUCGGGCCUCUUGCCAUCGGAUGUGCCCAGAUGGGAUUAGCUAGUAGGUGGGGUAACGGCUCACCUAGGCGACGAUCCCUAGCUGGUCUGAGAGGAUGACCAGCCACACUGGAACUGAGACACGGUCCAGACUCCUACGGGAGGCAGCAGUGGGGAAUAUUGCACAAUGGGCGCAAGCCUGAUGCAGCCAUGCCGCGUGUAUGAAGAAGGCCUUCGGGUUGUAAAGUACUUUCAGCGGGGAGGAAGGGAGUAAAGUUAAUACCUUUGCUCAUUGACGUUACCCGCAGAAGAAGCACCGGCUAACUCCGUG
RNAcentral lists this ribosomal RNA (490 nucleotides) under uncultured bacterium. RNAcentral's name for it is "partial 16S ribosomal RNA". It matches the Rfam family "Bacterial small subunit ribosomal RNA", at positions 30 to 507 of the family's 1533-position model. The record is from RNAcentral.